Herpailurus yagouaroundi (jaguarundi) is the source of this 399-nucleotide long non-coding RNA. RefSeq lists it as uncharacterized. NCBI's taxonomy places the organism in Eukaryota, Metazoa, Chordata, Mammalia, Carnivora, Felidae. The transcript is spliced from 5 exons. The record is from RefSeq and is a predicted model, not a curated record.
UUUCUAUUCUGCAGAGGCUACUGUGUAUGUGAGCCUGGUGGCCUGACCAUCAUUAUAAGCCUUAGAGUGUGUCUUCUACUGGUGAGGAAAAGAGUCGCUCCAGGCAAGAAGACCCAGAGCCAUCAACACUGAAACAAAAGGCAAAGGAGGUCACUGCUGACAUUCUCAAAUCUUAUCUUCACCUGCUUGAACAUAGGGGAAUUUGGACUUCACAGAUGUCAAGAUACAGAGAGAACAUCAUCUACAAACCAAGGAACGACUGAGACCACCAGGUCUAGGAGAGAGGUUUCCUGCCGCCCGCCGCGAGCGAUGGAGUCAGUCAAACUGAAGAGAAGUCUCCGCUCUACCUUCGUGAGCCUCAGUUUCUUCAGCUGCCAAAUGGGAGUGACCGCUGACCGC